This 458-nucleotide ribosomal RNA is filed under the name uncultured bacterium. Its description in RNAcentral is "SSU rRNA". It matches the Rfam family "Bacterial small subunit ribosomal RNA", at positions 26 to 518 of the family's 1533-position model. The record is from RNAcentral.
AGAAUCAACGCUGGCGGCGUGCCUAACACAUGCAAGUCGAACGAGAAAGUGGAGCAAUCCAUGAGUAAAGUGGCGCACGGGUGAGUAACACGUGACUAACCUACCCUUGAGUGGGGAAUAACCUAGGGAAACCUGGGCUAAUACCGCAUAACACCUACGGGUCAAAGGAGCAAUUCGCUUAAGGAGGGGGUCGCGGCAGAUUAGCUAGUUGGCGGGGUAAUGGCCCACCAAGGCAGUGAUCUGUAUCCGGCCUGAGAGGGCGCACGGACACACUGGAACUGAAACACGGUCCAGACUCCUACGGGAGGCAGCAGUGGGGAUUUUGCGCAAUGGGGGAAACCCUGACGCAGCAACGCCGCGUGGAGGAUGAAGUCCCUUGGGACGUAAACUCCUUUCGACCGGGAAGAUUAUGACGGUACCGGAAGAAGAAGCCCGGCUAACUUCGCGCCAGCAGCCGC